This is a long non-coding RNA of Xiphophorus hellerii (green swordtail), 180 nucleotides long. RefSeq lists it as uncharacterized. NCBI's taxonomy places the organism in Eukaryota, Metazoa, Chordata, Actinopteri, Cyprinodontiformes, Poeciliidae. The record is from RefSeq and is a predicted model, not a curated record. The transcript has 3 exons.
UUCUCCCCAAGAGUGUGUGUGUGAGUGUGUGGUUGUUUGUCCUGUAUGUCUCUGUGUUGCUCUGCGACAGACUGCCGACCUGUCCAGGGUGCACCCCGCCUCUCGUCCAAAACUUUCACUGGAGAUAGGCACCAGGACCCCUCCCGGCCCCAUUGGGGAGAAGAGUGUACAGAAAAUAGA